This 490-nucleotide ribosomal RNA is filed under the name uncultured bacterium. Its description in RNAcentral is "partial 16S ribosomal RNA". It matches the Rfam family "Bacterial small subunit ribosomal RNA", at positions 30 to 507 of the family's 1533-position model. The record is from RNAcentral.
AUUGAACGCUGGCGGCAGGCCUAACACAUGCAAGUCGAACGGUAACAGGAAGCAGCUUGCUGCUUCGCUGACGAGUGGCGGACGGGUGAGUAAUGUCUGGGAAACUGCCUGAUGGAGGGGGAUAACUACUGGAAACGGUAGCUAAUACCGCAUAACGUCGCAAGACCAAAGAGGGGGACCUUAGGGCCUCUUGCCAUCGGAUGUGCCCAGAUGGGAUUAGCUAGUAGGUGGGGUAACGGCUCACCUAGGCGACGAUCCCUAGCUGGUCUGAGAGGAUGACCAGCCACGCUGGAACUGAGACACGGUCCAGACUCCUACGGGAGGCAGCAGUGGGGAAUAUUGCACAAUGGGCGCAAGCCUGAUGCAGCCAUGCCGCGUGUAUGAAGAAGGCCUUCGGGUUGUAAAGUACUUUCAGCGGGGAGGAAGGGAGUAAAGUUAAUACCUUGGCUGAUUGACGUUACCCGCAGAAGAAGCACCGGCUAACUCCGUG